UCCCUCCUGCCCUGCGCCUGCCCAGCCCUCCAGCCCUGGUGGCCAAGGACCCCGGGCAGGGCCGGUGCUGGGUGUAGGGCGGCGGG
RNAcentral lists this microRNA precursor (86 nucleotides) under Carlito syrichta (Philippine tarsier). RNAcentral's name for it is "miRNA (ENSTSYG00000029337.1)". The record is from RNAcentral. Lineage: Eukaryota; Metazoa; Chordata; Mammalia; Primates; Tarsiidae.